Molecule: ribosomal RNA, 467 nt
Filed under: uncultured bacterium
Lineage: Bacteria
Description: partial 16S ribosomal RNA
Rfam family: Bacterial small subunit ribosomal RNA
Source: RNAcentral
GAUGAACGCUGGCGGCGUGCUUAACACAUGCAAGUCGAACGGUGAAGCAGAGCUUGCUCUGUGGAUCAGUGGCGAACGGGUGAGUAACACGUGAGCAACCUGCCCCUGACUCUGGGAUAAGCGCUGGAAACGGCGUCUAGUACUGGAUAUGAGCUGCGACCGCAUGGUCAGCAGUUGGAAAGAUUUUUCGGUCUGGGAUGGGCUCACGGCCUAUCAGCUUGUUGGUGAGGUAAUGGCUCACCAAGGCGUCGACGGGUAGCCGGCCUGAGAGGGUGACCGGCCACACUGGGACUGAGACACGGCCCAGACUCCUACGGGAGGCAGCAGUGGGGAAUACUGCACAAUGGGCGAAAGCCUGAUGCAGCAACGCCGCGUGAGGGAUGACGGCCUUCGGGUUGUAAACCUCUUUUAGCAGGGAAGAAGCGAAAGUGACGGUACCUGCAGAAAAAGCGCCGGCUAACUACGUG